UGAGACGACCGGCAUUCAGCCAUUGACUUAAUUUUGCAUCCGAAAAGAUCCAUUUUUCUCAUCCCUUCAGAUUCUUUGCUCUUUUGCAGAUAAAAACACAACUUCUCAGUUGAAGAAAUAGAGGAUGAUUUAUGAAGUUUCAAAGUUGGCGUUGCAAGCUUCCUCAACUGGGUACGCACCUAUUAAAGAUAUGUAUUCAUACAUCAUGGACAAGAAAAAAUUUGUCGAAAAUUUGGAAGACAAUUUGACAAAGAUGAUUAGAGAGUUGGCCACCUUUUAUUCGAGGAAGGAAAAGGUCGAUCGAAGGCUAGAGGCAGCCGUGUCUAAAGAAAAAAGUGGUGAAUACGAUGUGUUGGUUAAGCAAAUGGAGUUUCAUCAUAAACGAUACAAUGAGUUUGUCAACAAGUAUCAACGAUAUUGCCAGGAUCUGCCAAGUUUUGAGAUACAUGAUGUUUCGAGUGCUACAAAAGUUAUGGAUGUUGUGCAGGAAAGAAAGCCAACCAUUAACACGCGCAAGUUCUUCAAGCUUGCAAAACUUAGCAAAAAGGUUAAUGAGUUGCUUGAUGAGAUCUCUCAGGUUAGUGGCAAAAUGGAACCCGAAAAUGUGUUAUGUGAUAAAAAAAUCGAAGACGUUCAAGUGAAAUAUGAUGAUAUUGAUCUUCCUUCAUCUAAUGAAUAUGUUAACAAGGUUAUAAGGUAUCUCAACGAAGAUGGAAACAGAAGAGUUGGCAUUUUGGGUCCUAUUGGAGUAGGAAAAACAACUAUCAUGAAAAGGUUGAAUAAUCAGCUUAAACAUUCUUCGUCUUCAUCUUGUGGAAUGACAAUGAUAACAAAAUUUGAUUUUGUUAUUUGGAUAGAUUGUCAAAACCAAUAUGAGGCAGAAGAUGUUGUUGAAGAGAUUCAAGAUGUGAUAAUUAGACGUCUAAAUCUAAAAGGGGACGAAGAAAAAAGUAGAGAACAAAAUGCUGAAAUCAUUUCAGAUUUCCUUUGUGAUAGAAAAUAUCUAUUGCUGAUUGAUCAAGUCUCUUCAACUAUCAACUUAGAUGAAGUUGGAGUUCAUAAAAACCACAAGUUUGGCAGGGUUGUACUUGCAUCUAGUAACAAGAAAGUUAUCUCACCUAUGACUGAUCAAGAGGUUGAGAUCAAGUUUCUAUCAGACAAAGAUGCGAUGAAACUCUUUUUAGAAGUUCAUGGCGAGAUUAACGACCCGCGCAUCAAACUUAUCGCCGAGAACAUAGUAAAGUCAUGUGGAGGGUUGCCAUUGGUGAUCAAGUUAGUAGCUUGUUAUUUAAAAGGGGAGAAAGAUGAACAAGUGUGGAGUGAUGUGAAGCGGAUUCUGCAAUCUGAAACAAAAGCUAAAUUGCUAAAUUUGGAAGGGGUUGGACAUGCUUACAAGCUGGCAUAUGAUAAAUUAGAGACGAGUCAGCAAAAGUGUCUUCUUUUUGUGACAUUGUUCACAAGUAACCAAAAAAUCUACAAAGAUUAUCUUAUAGAAUGUUGGAAUGCUGAGAGAUUUCUUGAAUUAGAUGUUCCAGAACUUAGGGCUGCACGAGAUCGUGGAGCAACAACUUUGCGAGAGCUAACAGAUCAUUACCUGCUCGAAAAUCUCUCAGACAGGCAUGUAAAGAUGCCAGAAUACUUCAGAAGAGUGGCUGCUGAGCAGGAAUAUCCAGGUGAAAACAAUUGCAUAAGUUGGAUGCAACAAAAGAUUCAACCCCUCACUGAUGAAACCUGGAGGGUGACUAGGAGGAUGUCGCUGAUCCGUUGUAAGUCCAAACUUCCCAGCGAACCAAUAAGUAAUAACAUGUCAACAUUACUACUGCAAUGUUAUCGCGAUUUGGUGACACUUGGAGAUAUGUUCUUUAAGAACAUGCAAAAGCUUCUCAUUUUGGACUUGCACAAAGCAGAUAUAGAAUCACUUCCGACUUCUAUAUCUAGUUUAGUCAGUCUCAGAUGUUUAUAUCUGAAUGAUUGUCGUCUACUUGCUAAGUUACCUCCAAAAGUAGAAAACUUGAAGAAGCUUGAACUCAUUGACAUUCGAGGAACUUCAAUUCGCUCGUUGCCCAUGGAAAUUGGUGUUAUGCUUCACUUAAGGUGCUUGCGAAUUUCAUUUGGUCAAACAGGGUGCAACCGCAAUGAGAAAUGUAAGGAGGUAGAAAUGACGAUUCCACAUAAUAUCAUCAAACGUCUUCAAUGGCUUGAAGAGUUGACCAUUGAGGCAGGGUGUUGCAAUCAAGCUUGGAAAAGUAUUGUUGAGGAAAUAGUCAAAGAGGCGGCAUGUUUGGAAAAGUUGAGUACUCUUAACUUUCACUUCCCGGAUGUGACUAGUCUUAAAUUAUUUGUUGCUAAGAGCAAAUCUCUCAAAAAUACAGACACACAUUGGGGUACAAGCACUUUAAGGUCGUUUAAUAUUUCUGUUGGUUGCUCUGAUACGAGACAUCCAUAUGGUUCGGAAAUAUCUGCAAUUUCACCCGAAAGACUGUUGAGAUUCUCCACCGGUGAAGAAAUUUCUUCAGUAAAAGAAGUACUGCAGCAGACAAGCUCAUUCGAAUUAGUUGGUCAUGGGGGUGUAGAGAGCUUGAGUGACUUUAACUUGAGAAAUGUCGGAACACUAAAAGUUUGUGUUGUGGAAGGAUGUGGAAAUAUGACAAGUGUUGUGGAUGGUUCUAGAAUCUAUGAUAUGCAAAUGGAAAUUACUGAAGAAUCUGAUUUUGCUAUGCUUCAGUGUUUGGAGAAACUAUAUUUGUUUGAACUUAAAACACUGCAGUCUAUUUGGAAUGGACCAGUUUGUUCAGGAAGCCUUGCAAACUUGAGGGAACUUACAUUUUUUGGUUGUUCGAAAUUGAUUACAAUUCUCAAUCUUGAACAAGCGAGAGCUCUUUCAAGCUUAGAGUAUGUCAAAGUUGAGAACUGUUCUGAGGUUGUUGAGAUCAUCAAUGAAAAUAUUGUUGCUGACAACAAUAUUGAUCUAUCUAAUAUGCUAAACAAGGUGAAGACUGUCGACCUGGUGGACUUGCCAAAGCUGCGAAGCAUAUGCAAGACUAAUACGCCCAUGGAAUGGAGAUCCCUGGUGAAAAUUGCAAUUAUAAGUUGCAAUGGAUUGCGAGAUAUUCAUUUCAGUUUGAGGAAUGCGGACAAGUUGGAAACUGUUGAGUGUGAAGAGAGUUGGUGGAUUCAGUUACCAGAGGAACAAAACGAAAAAAUUCUUCCUUGUCACUUCAUUGUCGUGGAACGAGAAUCAACUAAUCGAUGCCGCCAUGCCAGCUUUUCCAAUGAGUGCAAUGGUAAAGUAAUUCCUAGAAAUGAAAGCGAGCAGCUCAUAUCAAGAACAAGUUUUGGCCUUCAAGACAUGGUGGAAUCAUCACAUGGACAACGUCAUGUUAUUCAUCUGUCAACAAACGCCAAUGCUCCAGGAAAUGAAGAAGGCUCAUCCCUUUCAGUGGGAAGAUGUUCAGAAGUGGAUUUUUCAAUAUCCUCUCACUAGAUAUAUUUUCCUAUACUGAGUUUGUUGAUUGAAGAUUCAGAGGUACUGUUCUAGCUUGUUAAGGUUUUCGGACUAGGGAUGAUGGUGUGCAGGAUCUACUGAAAAGAGGAACUUUCUUUGCUUUUAUUGGUGUUUGAAGAUAAAACUAAAAAACCUCAGAUUUCAUGUGAUGUGUACAAGUAUGUAAUCAAUAUGGAUUGAAACUGCGCUGUCACCAGUUAUUUAUUCAGUUUGUUGUGUGAUUCAUUUUGUUUGACAAUCCGAUGUUUGAUGCUGUUUUGUCCACAUGUGCAAAUCAGUUUGUUCAAUAAUUCAAAACUAAGAACACACCUCAACUGUGAA
Molecule: RNA transcript, 3826 nt
Organism: Salvia hispanica
Lineage: Eukaryota; Viridiplantae; Streptophyta; Magnoliopsida; Lamiales; Lamiaceae
Gene name: disease resistance protein RPS2-like
Source: RefSeq, a predicted model, not a curated record